UUUAAGUGCAACCAUGAGUUUCCGUGUCUAACUUUGAUCGUCUGUCUUAUUUGAAAAAAAAAUAUAAUUAGUAUUUUUAUUGUUAUAAGAUGAUAAAACAUAAAUAGUAUUUUAUUCGUGACUUGUGUUUUUAAUCUUUUAAAAAAAAAUUCAAAUAAGACGGACGAUCAAAGUUGGACGCAGAAAACCAUGGCUGCACUUAAA
Oryza meridionalis is the source of this 204-nucleotide non-coding RNA. NCBI's taxonomy places the organism in Eukaryota, Viridiplantae, Streptophyta, Magnoliopsida, Poales, Poaceae. The record is from Rfam.